UUUUUUUGCCUCAAAAAGUGACAUUUAUUCAAAGAAAAAAAAUGACAAGAUGUCUAUCCCUUGGCUCCCUUCCUUCCCCUCUCCUGCUGCUCCUCAGCCCCCCGAGAUUGAGCCCUGGCUGGGGCUGGGUGGCAGGACAGCCCCUCAGAUGAGGUCAGCAACAUUGGGGGCAUUUCCUCAAUGGAGGUGUUGUAGAAGGUCUCAAUGUCUCGAAGAGUCCUCUUGUCUUCUUCUGUCACCAUGUUAAUAGCCACAUCUUUACGGCCAAACUGUCCACCUCGACUGAUUCUGUGGAUAUAGUUUUCCCUGUUGGUCAGUGGUAAUCAAAACUCUGCUAGAGCCAGAACGAAACUCCCUCGUGAUCACGUCUCGCUCCUUUUGGUCCAUAUCUCCAUGCAUGGCGGAGACAGUGAAAUCUCGAGCAUGCAUCUUCUCGGUGAGCCAGUCCACCUUCCUCCGGGUAUUGAUGAAGAUGACUGCCUGGGUGAUGGUCAGGGUUUCAUACAAGUCACAUAGUGUGUCCAGCUUCCACUCCUCUCGUUCCACGUUGAUGUAGAAUUGGCGGAUACCCUCCAGGGUCAACUCUUCCUUCUUGACAAGAAUCCGAAUGGGGUCCCUCAUGAACUUCUUGAUCACCUCAAGCACAUCAGAAGGCAUUGUAGCUGACAGCAAAACUACCUGGGUGUUGCUGUUGAGCUUUUGGAAUAUGUCAUAGAUCUGGUCCUUGAAUCCACGGCUUAACAUUUCGUCAGCUUCAUCCAGUACAAACAUCUUGAUGUAUUUGGGAGAUAGGUAUCUCCGGUUAAGCAUAUCAAACACACAGCUAGGGGUACCCACGAUGAUGUGGGGAGCUUCCAUCUGCAGUUUCUGCACCUCAGCACGCA
RNAcentral lists this long non-coding RNA (884 nucleotides) under Homo sapiens (human). RNAcentral describes it as "HSALNT0284397". The record is from RNAcentral. Lineage: Eukaryota; Metazoa; Chordata; Mammalia; Primates; Hominidae.